AUUACUUUGGCAGAUUAGUGCUAUAGACUUAGGAUCUUUAUAUAUAAAUUAUUAUAGGUAAUA
This 63-nucleotide transfer RNA is filed under the name Microrhagus sp. ZM-2022. Its description in RNAcentral is "tRNA-Leu". Lineage: Eukaryota; Metazoa; Arthropoda; Insecta; Coleoptera; Eucnemidae. The record is from RNAcentral.